CCUACGGGAGGCAGCAGUGAGGAAUAUUGGUCAAUGGGCGAGAGCCUGAACCAGCGAAGUCGCGUGAAGGAUGAAGGAUCUAUGGUUUGUAAACUUCGUUUAUAUGGGAAUAAAGUGAGGAACGUGUUCCUUUUUGUAUGUACCAUAUGAAUAAGCAUCGGCUAACUCCGUGCCAGCAGCCGCGGUAAUACGGAGGAUGCGAGCGUUAUCCGGAUGUAGUGGGUUUAAAGGGUGGGUAGGUGGUUCAUUAAGUCAGCGGUGAAAGUUUGUGGCCGAACCAUAAAAUUGCCGUUGAAACUGGUUGUCUUGAGUAUAUUUGAGGUAGGCGGAAUGCGUGGUGUAGCGGUGAAAUGCAUAGAGAUCACGCAGAACUCCGAUUGCGAAGGCAGCUUACUAAGCUAUAACUGACACUGAAGCACGAAAGCGUGGGGAUCAAACAGGAUUAGAUACCCUGGUAGUC
This 460-nucleotide ribosomal RNA is filed under the name uncultured bacterium. RNAcentral's name for it is "partial 16S ribosomal RNA". It matches the Rfam family "Bacterial small subunit ribosomal RNA", at positions 338 to 795 of the family's 1533-position model. The record is from RNAcentral.